CCUACGGGUGGCAGCAGUGAGGAAUAUUGGUCAAUGGACGAGAGUCUGAACCAGCCAAGUAGCGUGAAGGAUGACUGCACUAUGGGUUGUAAACUUCUUUUAUAUGGGAAUAAAACGUUCCACGUGUGGGAUUUUGUAUGUACCAUAUGAAUAAGGAUCGGCUAACUCCGUGCCAGCAGCCGCGGUAAUACGGAGGAUCCGAGCGUUAUCCGGAUUUAUUGGGUUUAAAGGGAGCGUAGGUGGAUUGUUAAGUCAGUUGUGAAAGUUUGCGGCUCAACCGUAAAAUUGCAGUUGAAACUGGCAGUCUUGAGUACAGUAGAGGUGGGCGGAAUUCGUGGUGUAGCGGUGAAAUGCUUAGAUAUCACGAAGAACUCCGAUUGCGAAGGCAGUUCACUGGACUGCAACUGACACUGAGGCUCGAAAGUGUGGGUAUCAAACAGGAUUAGAUACCCCUGUAGUC
RNAcentral lists this ribosomal RNA (460 nucleotides) under uncultured bacterium. RNAcentral describes it as "partial 16S ribosomal RNA". It matches the Rfam family "Bacterial small subunit ribosomal RNA", at positions 338 to 795 of the family's 1533-position model. The record is from RNAcentral.